UGUGUUUACAGAUGGGUCCAAAA
This 23-nucleotide non-coding RNA is filed under the name Mus musculus (house mouse). The record is from RNAcentral. Lineage: Eukaryota; Metazoa; Chordata; Mammalia; Rodentia; Muridae.